GUGCCAGCAGCCGCCGCGGUAAUACGUAGGGUGCGAGCGUUAAUCGGAAUUACUGGGCGUAAAGCGUGCGCAGGCGGUUAUGUAAGACAGAUGUGAAAUCCCCGGGCUCAACCUGGGAACUGCAUUUGUGACUGCAUGGCUAGAGUACGGUAGAGGGGGAUGGAAUUCCGCGUGUAGCAGUGAAAUGCGUAGAGAUGUGGAGGAACACCGAUGGCGAAGGCAGCCCCCUGGGCCAAUACUGACGCUCAUGCACGAAAGCGUGGGUAGCAAACAGGAGUAGAUGCCCUGGUAGUCCACGCCC
RNAcentral lists this ribosomal RNA (301 nucleotides) under uncultured bacterium. Its description in RNAcentral is "bacterial SSU rRNA". It matches the Rfam family "Bacterial small subunit ribosomal RNA", at positions 505 to 802 of the family's 1533-position model. The record is from RNAcentral.